RNAcentral lists this ribosomal RNA (497 nucleotides) under uncultured bacterium. Its description in RNAcentral is "partial 16S ribosomal RNA". It matches the Rfam family "Bacterial small subunit ribosomal RNA", at positions 28 to 507 of the family's 1533-position model. The record is from RNAcentral.
GAUGAACGCUGGCGGCGUGCCUAAUACAUGCAAGUCGAGCGAACAGACGAUGAGCUUGCUCCUCUGACGUUAGCGGCGGACGGGUGAGUAACACGUGGAUAACCUACCUAUAAGACUGGGAUAACUUCGGGAAACCGGAGCUAAUACCGGAUAAUAUAUUGAACCGCAUGGUUCAAUAGUGAAAGACGGUUUUGCUGUCACUUAUAGAUGGAUCCGCGCCGCAUUAGCUAGUUGGUAAGGUAACGGCUUACCAAGGCAACGAUGCGUAGCCGACCUGAGAGGGUGAUCGGCCACACUGGAACUGAGACACGGUCCAGACUCCUACGGGAGGCAGCAGUAGGGAAUCUUCCGCAAUGGGCGAAAGCCUGACGGAGCAACGCCGCGUGAGUGAUGAAGGUCUUCGGAUCGUAAAACUCUGUUAUUAGGGAAGAACAAAUGUGUAAGUAACUAUGCACGUCUUGACGGUACCUAAUCAGAAAGCAACGGCUAACUACGUG